GCCUGGCUGGCUCAGUCAGUAGAGCAUGUGACUCUUGAUCUCAAAGUUGUGAGUUUGAACCCCACAUUGGGUG
RNAcentral lists this transfer RNA (73 nucleotides) under Felis catus (domestic cat). It matches the Rfam family "tRNA". Rfam says of the family: Transfer RNA (tRNA) molecules are approximately 80 nucleotides in length. Their secondary structure includes four short double-helical elements and three loops (D, anti-codon, and T loops). The record is from Rfam by way of RNAcentral. Lineage: Eukaryota; Metazoa; Chordata; Mammalia; Carnivora; Felidae.